Molecule: ribosomal RNA, 406 nt
Filed under: uncultured bacterium
Lineage: Bacteria
Description: partial 16S ribosomal RNA
Rfam family: Bacterial small subunit ribosomal RNA
Source: RNAcentral
AUUGAACGCUGGCGGCAGGCCUAACACAUGCAAGUCGAACGAGUGGCGGACGGGUGAGUAAUGUCUGGGAAACUGCCUGAUGGAGGGGGAUAACUACUGGAAACGGUAGCUAAUACCGCAUACCAUCGGAUGUGCCCAGAUGGGAUUAGCUUGUUGGUGGGGUAACGGCUCACCAAGGCGACGAUCCCUAGCUGGUCUGAGAGGAUGACCGUCAACACUGGAACUGAGACACGGUCCAGACUCCUACGGGAGGCAGCAGUGGGGAAGAUUGAACAAGGGGCGCAAGCCUGAUACAGCCAUGCCGCGUGUAUGAAGAAGGCCUUCGGUUUGUAAAGUACUUUCAGCGGGGAGGCGUUACCCGCAGAAGAAGCACCGGCUAACUCCGUGCCAGCAGCCGCGGUAAUAC